AAACGAUAUCUGGGAAUUGUUGAGUGUGGAGAGUCCCUAUUCACUCUAAGUGCUGCCAUGGCUUUUUGACAACUGUAUUGCAGUUUCCCAAUGAGUGGACCUACCUUACAGCAACUACUUGCAGGCUUUCAGGGUUCACGUUUGUUGCUGUUCAGCCCGGUGGUGAGUGGAGGCUGUGGAGCCAUGCAGUACAAGAGUGUGGGAUGAGGCCCUCUGGGCAAGUACUGGCAGAUGGACGUUGCCUUCAGGUGGCAUCGUGCACCCAUGUAACCAAAUGUCUGCUGGAGGAGAUGAAUAUUUUGUCAUCUCAGUACUGUAUGAAUGUGAAGCAUGGAGUUGAAUAGGAGCAUCAAGAAAGUGAAAUCUGCUUGAUAGGCAACAGAAUAAUGAUUGGACCUGAAGGGUAAGUAUAAUUUACUUUGGAAAAUGAAGUGGAC
This 437-nucleotide long non-coding RNA is filed under the name Phasianus colchicus (ring-necked pheasant). Its description in RNAcentral is "lncRNA (ENSPCLG00000022314.1)". Lineage: Eukaryota; Metazoa; Chordata; Aves; Galliformes; Phasianidae. The record is from RNAcentral.